RNAcentral lists this ribosomal RNA (465 nucleotides) under uncultured bacterium. RNAcentral describes it as "partial 16S ribosomal RNA". It matches the Rfam family "Bacterial small subunit ribosomal RNA", at positions 28 to 507 of the family's 1533-position model. The record is from RNAcentral.
GACGAACGCUGGCGGCGUGCUUAACACAUGCAAGUCGAACGGUAAGGCUCCAGCUUGCUGGGGUACACGAGUGGCGAACGGGUGAGUAACACGUGGGUGACCUGCCCUGCACUUCGGGAUAAGCCUGGGAAACUGGGUCUAAUACCGGAUAGGACCGCACCGUGGGGGUGUGGUGGAAAGUUUUUUCGGUGUGGGAUGGGCCCGCGGCCUAUCAGCCUGUUGGUGGGGUAAUGGCCUACCAAGGCGGCGACGGGUAGCCGGCCUGAGAGGGUGGACGGCCACAUUGGGACUGAGACACGGCCCAGGCUCCUACGGGAGGCAGCAGUGGGGAAUAUUGCACAAUGGGCGGAAGCCUGAUGCAGCGACGCCGCGUGGGGGAUGACGGCCUUCGGGUUGUAAACUCCUUUCACCAUCGACGAAGGGUUUCUGACGGUAGAUGGAGAAGAAGCACCGGCUAACUACGUG